AGAGUUUGAUCAUGGCUCAGAUUGAACGCUGGCGGCACGCUUAACACAUGCAAGUCGAGCGGUAACAGGAUUUGUAGCAAUACAAAUUGCUGACGAGCGGCGGACGGGUGAGUAAUACGUAGGAACCUGCCCUUGAGAGUGGGACGACCUGGGGAAACUCGGGCUAAUACCGCAUAUUCUCGUGAGAGGAAAGGCCGCAGCAAUGCGGUCGCUGAAGGAGGGGCUUACGUCCGAUUAGCUAGUUGGUGGGGUAAAAGCUCACCAAGGCGAUGAUCGGUAGCUGGUCUGAGAGGACGACCAGCCACACUGGGACUGAGACACGGCCCAGACUCCUACGGGAGGCAGCAGUGGGGAAUCUUGGACAAUGGGGGCAACCCUGAUCCAGCGAUGCCGCGUGGGUGAAGAAGGCCUUCGGGUUGUAAAGCCCUUUAGGCCGGAAGAAGGUAAUUAGCUAAUAAGUUAGUUGCUUGACUGUACCGGCGGAAUAAGCACCGGCUAACUCUGUGCCAGCAGCCGCGGUAAUAC
This 525-nucleotide ribosomal RNA is filed under the name uncultured bacterium. RNAcentral describes it as "bacterial SSU rRNA". It matches the Rfam family "Bacterial small subunit ribosomal RNA", at positions 8 to 526 of the family's 1533-position model. The record is from RNAcentral.